RNAcentral lists this ribosomal RNA (469 nucleotides) under uncultured bacterium. Its description in RNAcentral is "partial 16S ribosomal RNA". It matches the Rfam family "Bacterial small subunit ribosomal RNA", at positions 28 to 507 of the family's 1533-position model. The record is from RNAcentral.
GAUGAACGCUGGCGGCGUGCUUAACACAUGCAAGUCGAACGGUGAACACGGAGCUUGCUCUGUGGGAUCAGUGGCGAACGGGUGAGUAACACGUGAGCAACCUGCCCCUGACUCUGGGAUAAGCGCUGGAAACGGCGUCUAAUACUGGAUAUGUGACGUUACCGCAUGGUCUGCGUUUGGAAAGUUUUUUCGGUUGGGGAUGGGCUCGCGGCCUAUCAGCUUGUUGGUGAGGUAAUGGCUCACCAAGGCGUCGACGGGUAGCCGGCCUGAGAGGGUGACCGGCCACACUGGGAUUGAGACACGGCCCAGACUCCUACGGGAGGCAGCAGUGGGGAAUAUUGCACAAUGGGCGAAAGCCUGAUGCAGCAACGCCGCGUGAGGGAUGACGGCCUUCGGGUUGUAAACCGUUUUUAGCAGGGAAGAAGCGAAAGUGACGGUACCUGCAGAAAAAGCGCCGGCUAACUACGUG